RNAcentral lists this unclassified non-coding RNA (202 nucleotides) under Hevea brasiliensis (rubber tree). Lineage: Eukaryota; Viridiplantae; Streptophyta; Magnoliopsida; Malpighiales; Euphorbiaceae. The record is from RNAcentral.
GACACAAAAUGACACAUUUUUCAUCUAGGAAUCAUGCCCAGAAAGUGACCAUAACUUAGUGAACAAAUUGGCCAAAUCCGGAAUUGAGUGUUCUGCCCUGUAUAAAAAUGACCAAAUGAACAUUUGGCCAUAACUUGGGCUAGGCAGGUCUAAAUGACCUGAAAGUUUACCAGUAGAAAGAUGAGAUAUAAACCUAAAACUU